GACGAACGCUGGCGGCGUGCUUAACACAUGCAAGUCGAACGGAAAGGCCCUGCUUUUGUUGGGUGCUCGAGUGGCGAACGGGUGAGUAACACGUGAGUAACCUGCCCUUUACUUUGGUAUAACUUCAGGAAACUGGUGCUAAUACCUGAUAGGAGCUCCUGCUGCAUGGUGGGGGUUGGAAAGUUUCGGCGGUUGGGGAUGGACUCGCUGCUUAUCAGCUUGUUGGUUGGGUAGUGGCUUACCAAGGGUUUGACGGGUAGCCGGCCUGAGAGGGUGACCGGGGAAAUUGGGACUGAGAUACGGACCAGAAUACAACGGGAGGCAGCAGUGGGGAAUAUUGCACAAUGGGAGGAAGCAUGAUGCAGAAACGCCGCGUGCGGGAUGAAGGCCUUCGGGUUGUAAAAAGAUUUCGAAUGUGACGAAGAGUGAGUGACGGUAAUGGGUAAAGAAGCACCGGCUAACUACGUG
RNAcentral lists this ribosomal RNA (468 nucleotides) under uncultured bacterium. RNAcentral describes it as "partial 16S ribosomal RNA". It matches the Rfam family "Bacterial small subunit ribosomal RNA", at positions 28 to 507 of the family's 1533-position model. The record is from RNAcentral.